This 664-nucleotide long non-coding RNA is filed under the name Homo sapiens (human). RNAcentral's name for it is "non-protein coding lnc-TM2D3-4:1". The record is from RNAcentral. Lineage: Eukaryota; Metazoa; Chordata; Mammalia; Primates; Hominidae.
UCACUUGACGCAGAAAACCCCCACAAAAUCAUGCACAUCAAGAGUUUUAAAUCUUUGUGUUCACUUUAAGAACACUCCUAGACCAUGACAGGUGUGUGUAUCUGGAAAGCCACCAAGUGUCUGAAAGGUGUAUCUUAACCGAAGCAAUGUGUGUCAUUCUGUCUUAUGAUGGUGGAGUUGAGAGGUGUGCCCAGGCCAACAGUAGGGCUGGAUGCAGGGUCAGUGGCUCCAAAAGAGUGUGGAAUUUUUGCCACAGUUGCUUAAAAAUGCAGAGAGUAAUGCUGAACUUAAGGGUUUAGAUAUAAAUUCUCUGGUCAAUGAACAUCUCUAGGUGAACAAAGUACCCAAGAUAUUAGAUACCAAGGAUCCAAAAGAGUAUGGAAUUUUUGCCACACCUGCUUAAAAAUGCAGAGAGUAAUGCUGAACUUAAGGGUUUAGAUGUAAAUUCUCUGGUCAACGAACAUGUCUAGGUGAACAAAGUACCCAAGAUAUUGGCACCACCAUAUUUACAGAACUCACGGUGGGAUUAACCCAUACAUGAACUCCCAUGAGGUGAUCCUUGCUGAAGAAAAAAAGAAAAUUUGUUCCCAAGCCAGAAAAGGAGGUUGCACAGAAGAAAAUGUAUCCCAGAAGAAUCUGAAGAAACAAACAUUUACGGCGUGGG